Molecule: long non-coding RNA, 2333 nt
Filed under: Struthio camelus australis
Lineage: Eukaryota; Metazoa; Chordata; Aves; Struthioniformes; Struthionidae
Description: lncRNA (ENSSCUG00000013443.1)
Source: RNAcentral
AUCAGCGCAGCCCAGGUGGCAGAGCCCAGCCUGGGGUCUGGGGAAAGCUGCUGACCCCGCCGCUUUUUGCCAGGAGAAGGAAGAAAUGAGCUUUUAAGCCAGCACUAGGCAGCGUGCGCUCGAGCUCAGUGCCUGGCAGGGCAGGGGAUCUUCCAUUACGUGCAGCUUUAACAGGAGAGUUAGAUCCAAGGAGAGGUCAGGUGAGACGCAGCCUCUGUCCAGAAGGUUUCACGAUGACAGCAUGUGUGCAAGAGAUCCUAAAGCUUCUGUUGAAGAAUUAACCUAUUUGGGCUUUUAGACUUAGCAGGCCUUGCAAAGGAAGGACCUUCUCUGACCUUCUGCAUGCACAGAGCAGAUACUCCAGCCUGGCAUACCUGAAAGCUAUUCCCAGGCAGGCAGCCACUCUUCCCUGCGAUAUUCUUGCUGCCUUCCAAUACCCAUGAGCAUGCGAAGCGGUUCGGGACUGACCUGUCCAAGGCAGCUGCCGUGCACUGGGUGCUUGCAGAUGUGGGUCCGGGCUUGGUUCUCAGAGUGCCCCCUCCCAGCUCGCUGCACGCCCCAGGCGCUGGGAGCUGCCAGGUGAGAGCAUGUCUCUGUGACUCAUGGAGACAUUCAUGCCCUCAGUGCUGGAAACGUAACAAGAAACCACAGAGCAGACAACACAGGGAUGUGCAUCCAAUCGCUCAGGAAGUGUUUGACAGUUCUGUUUUUUGCUAUGUCUCCAGCCAUCCUAGCGACGUGCCUGCAGAUGACUAACGGCUAUGAGCCAUAGCACUCCCCUGUCUCGGAUCCUCUCUGCGAAGCCACUGUUGCUGACCCGGCUCACUCCGACCCACGCACACAGCUGGGGCCCCAUGCCGCAACCCGCCCGCGUGCCAGGAGCCAUGUGAUGGACAUGCUGACACUGGACUGUAAGCGGGCACCGGGGCUCUUAGGAGCUGCAGGGAUCUUGCACCAGGUGGCCGCAAAGGCUCUGUCUCCUCCCUGCAAGGUCCAGGACAUGGAGCAGAGCAAGCGCAUCUCCUGUCUCCCUGUGCCAGCGUGGGGCAUCUUGAGCCAGCUCUUUGCAGCCUCCACGGCUGCAACUCCAGCGAUGCGGCUACGCUGGCUCCCCUCCGCGUGCCUGAGAGCUUACGCGCUGUUGAGCUCUGCGUCUCUUCUCCUCUGGCUAGAUUUACGCUGUGGGAUCCUCUGCCAUUUUUUGAACGAGGCCUCUCCGAGAGCAAAUGUUCUCUGUUGUGCAACUCUUCUGGCAUUCUUCAGUCUGGGGCGAUUCACGGAUUUAAAAAUUGAUGUUUGCGAGCUGCUGCUAUCAUUGUUUCCUACAAGGUAAUCUUCUCCAGGCAAUGCAUGCUGCAUAUUCCACCCCAGGGUAAGCAGAGAGGGCCAUAUACCCUCAGACUUGUUUUGAGAAAGUGAGACUGAAGCUAAUUCCUCGGACCGAUGUGCUGAAAGGCAGUAAAGCAGAAGCCUUACAGGGCGAGGUCUAGGUGAAAGACGAAGCAGAGGCUUGACUGUCCUUGUGGAGACAUUGAUUAAGAUGCUCCAGGCUUGUUUGCACAAGGAAUUUAACCACAAUAACUAUUGCGCUAUGCUAUAUUCUGGAAUGGGUCAAUUUACUCUCAAAUCACGCAAAUGAAGCAAAGGACAGUUUCACAGAAUCACAGAAUGGCCAAGGUUGGAAGGGACCUCUGGAGAUCAUCUAGUGCAACCCCCCUGCUCAAGCAGGGUCAUAUUGAGCACAUUGCACAGGAUCGCGUCCAGGCAGGCUUUGAAUAUCUCCAGAGAAGCAGACUCAGUGUCUUACUCUGGAACUGAGAAGCCAUACAAGCCUUUCUCACAAGAAGCUGUAGAGGAGGAGGCAUUGUAGGACAGCUGUUCCCAUCACUUUCUCUACGUAGCAGAGCCUUUGUAUCCUUUCCUGAAGAAACAGAUAAAGUCUCUCAUGUUAUAUGUCAUAGUGAAGGGCCUAUGCAUCAGCAAUCCCAGGAGCAGUGGCUUUGUUCUGGAAAUAUUGAUAUCCUCAGAGGCUGGAGCCUCCCUAACAGUCCUCCCAAUGCCAAGCAAUUGAAGCAAACUUUCUCUUCAAGCAGUUUGCAAAUGUGAAAAAAAAUCAAAAGGAACCAUAGAGAGUUUUGGGGUGUGGCCAGCGUAUGACCCCUUUUGACAUUUAGGGUGGAUAAGCCAAUAUACCCUCUUUCUGGCUUUUCUUUUUUACCAAAUCAAAAAAGAUGGCAUGCAACUGCUGUCACUGCUUUGCAUAAAUCAAAAGAUCCAGCUUUGUGUAUCUUACUUGGUUAUUUCCUAUAAAAAGCACAUCUGUGGCCAUACCU